RNAcentral lists this long non-coding RNA (874 nucleotides) under Struthio camelus australis. Its description in RNAcentral is "lncRNA (ENSSCUG00000002194.1)". Lineage: Eukaryota; Metazoa; Chordata; Aves; Struthioniformes; Struthionidae. The record is from RNAcentral.
UUCACUUUCUGAAAGCAUUUCUUAUUCUUGAUAAUUUGUUUUUUUUACCUUAUCCAGAACUCUGAACAUGCAGAGAGGUUUUUUUAUUAUUAGCUUUGAGCAAUGAUUCUAAGUUAAUCAGCAUCAACUAAAUGUCUGUAAGUUGGCUGAAAACAAGAAAUUUCUGAAGAACGUUACAGUGAAUGGCAGUGAGAUGGAGCACAAUACUGGGAGUACAGCUACGAAGCCAACGUGUCUUGCAAGAAUAUGUUUGUUGCUCUUUUAUGCCAUUGGUAAACACGGUUGUUUGGAUCCCAGCUCUGUCUGUGUUGCUGCUUCAUAUUCCUGAUGGGGUGCGCACAGAGAGGGACCCCUGCACCACCCUGCGUGGAGCACAUCCUGCUGAGCGUGAGGUUCCAGCUCAUUUUAUCAGCACAAAGGGAACUAAGCUGCCUUCCUGUCUGAUAACUCAGCACACCAGGAAUAAAAGUCUCCUACCACAAUGGACACAUUCACCUCAUGGGUACCACAAGCCUCCAGAGCCAAAGCCAUUUUGCUACGGUUAUACCCAAGCACAUACAACCAGGAGAGCGGGGAUGCACCGGAGGUUUGUUACGUAUGGACUGGCUGCAUUUAUUUCUGGGAGCAGGCAAUUGCAGGAAGACUGGCCAUAAGAUGAGAUUUUGGGAUGCUGUGAUAGUUUCUGGCUGAGCAUGUAUAACUAAUUUAAUCUUAAAUCAAUUUACAAUAUAAAUAAUGAAGCAGCUGUUAAUGGGCCUCUGGCUGGGCAAGUGUCAAGCCAGACUGCACAACACGGAAAGAAUCAAGAGGAACAACUUGUCUGAUUACAUAAUUUUUUUGUAGAACAUAAAUAAAUUAUUCCCUCUUACUGGCA